This 11590-nucleotide long non-coding RNA is filed under the name Manihot esculenta (cassava). Its description in RNAcentral is "long non-coding RNA (MESC_LNC008365)". Lineage: Eukaryota; Viridiplantae; Streptophyta; Magnoliopsida; Malpighiales; Euphorbiaceae. The record is from RNAcentral.
UAAGGUUGGCCCUUGUUCUUUUUAAACUUGAAACUUUUUGAACAGUUAAUACAGAGCUUUUGAUUUAAAGAUAGAAGUAUAAAUUUCUUUUGAACUGGCCAGCUAGACUGUUUCAACUUGCAAUGGUAAAUGCAAAGUAAAAAAACGAGAUAUACUUUAGAGUUUCUUCCCACCGCCAGCCAUGUUUUUUCACCUCACUCAGGGUAAAACCAUGUACAUUCCUGGCUGCACAGCCCUGAAAUUCCACAGAUUAUCAACAUGAAGCCACCACAUCAAGUUAUGGAACUUCUAUCCAAAUAUAAUAGAUGCAGGUUGUCUUUUUAGGGGGCGUCUCAACAAUCACCAAUUAGGAUAAUAAAAAAUAUCAAAGCCAUACAGUCUGAUGAAUAAAUAUAAUAUGAGCACUAACCAGAGUCUUUAUAUGUAGAUUCUCAUACGUAAACUUCAUAUCCAGAUGCCUGAAAAAGAAAAAAACAGUGAGGCAAUAGAAAGAUAAUACAAGACGAUUUUAAAUUAAUAAAAAAUUAAGAAAAGCCAAAUUCCAGAAGGAUACAUCAAAUGAAAAUUUCCAACAUGGAAGCUGAUAUCACAGAAUCUUGCUACUGUUAAUAUAAUUCAAAGCCUGUGGGACGGCUAAAGAACUCAGAACUUUUAUGGGUGUGUGAAUGGAACGACCUUAAGUGAAAUACAGAUUUACAAAGACAACAAUUAUAAAAAAAUUAAUAGAGAUAUUACAAUUAUUUGCCAAAAAAUUCAGAAUAUUCAGUGACAAGAUCCAUUAUAUAGCAUCAUUUUUGGACAAACCAAAAUCAGAAACAAAACAUCCACUAUUCUGAAUUUCACAGUAGUUAUCACUCAGUAGACAUCGUCCAUGUAAAGUGUAUAGCAAUUCACUUGCAAGCUUUUAAGCUAAAAUAAACAAGUUAAAGAAAGUAAAAGCUUUUUCAAAGGAAAUUCUUAGUUGAACAUGGUACACCAUGAAACAUAGAAACAAGCACUCAUGGCAUCCGCAUGUGACUUGUCUAUGGCUCAUGAUGAACCAGUCUGCCCAAGAUACACGCAUAAGCACUUCAAUUUUAAAAAAGGAUGUACAUGAGACAUGUAAAAUCUAAAACUUAACCAACUAUUCGCUCAAGCUUUAUAAGCAGAUCUAUGGUUCAUCCAGAAAUACAAAAUCAAAUAAUUAUAUGACUCCACAAACAAAUAAUAGGUAAACAACAAUAACAACAAAGCCUUAAUCCCAAACUAGUUGGGAUCAGCUAAUGGAUCCUUUUUCAACAUUCAGCUAUGUUUGAAACCAAUUUCACAUCAAUAUCUAACAAUUGUUUCUUUUCAAUACUACUUUCUUCCACAUUAUUUUAGGUCUCUCCCCUUCUUUUUUCACUCAUUCCACCACCAAGUUAUCACACCUAAAUAUAAGCUAUGGUAGACAUAUUGUGAUCCAUGGCAAUAUUCCUCAAAUGGCCUUCAGUUACUAAUCUAACAAGGAUUGUUCACCUAGGAAGCACAAAAUUUGAAGUCCUUACUAAUGAUGACCAUUUGAAUCCAAAGGAUGACAUGGUUUAUCAAAAUUCGCAUCUCAUAUAUGUAUAUACAAUGUUAUACAUAUAUAUAACUCCUUUGGAAGAUGGAACAAAAGCUACAGCAAAAAACAAACGAGAUCUUUAUUUUUACAUCAUCUUAAAAAAAACGAAGCUACAGUCAAAUAUUUCAAUUGACGAAAAGCACUUGCAAAAGAAGACUCAUCAAACCUUACCCAAUAUUAAUUCAUUUUACAUGAGAUUACAUAAAUAAUUAAGUUAUUUUAUACAUCAAAAUGACUAAUCAAUUUGAUAUUGCAAUCCAACCAAUUAUAUUCAUCAUUUUAUUAUUUAUUUCUAAUAUGAGAUCUAUUCUCAAUAUUCCCUCCUCAAGUGCAACCACAAGGUUAGCACUUGAUAAUUAGUUUGUAUUAACCCAAUACGAGCCUAAUUAUGUAGCCUAAAUGGGCAGCUGAAACCCACAACUCGAAUUAGGCUUUAAUAUCAUGUUAAAUUUGAAAAGAAUGUCGACCCUAUUAAAUAUUAAUUCAUUUUAGAUGGGCUUAUAUAAAUGAUUGAGUUGCUUUACAUAUCAAAAUGACCAGCCAAUUUAAUAUGAAAUCCAACUAUUUUUUAUUCACCAUUUCAUGGUCAUCUAGUUCCAAUAUGGGAUUCAUUCUCAACAGUACGCACAAAGGCUUCUAGGAAAAGCAAAAGAGCAGAAAGAAAUAUUGACAAAUAACAGCGCAUCACAUGACUGGAGAUUGACAAUUGAAGCAAUAAGAAAAUGAUAACAUAUUAGUUUCACAGGUGGCGAGGAAGAGAGAAAUGAGGGCAUACCUUUGCUAUUGCCCAAAACUAAGCAACAACACCUACCUGCAGAUUGGAAUCACUAGGACUAGAAACACGUACCAACACUAAAGGGUCAGAUUCCAAACAAAACUGCAUGUGUUGUUAGUAAAAUAAGUAUUACAUCACCAGUAAAUCUAUAAUUAGACUAGAUCAUUGUUGUUGAAUGCCUUAACAAGCCAGGAUAACCAGAAGAACCUUUAAUCCCUUUAUCUUAUUCUUAAACUUAUAGCUUGAAAAUUUUCUUUGAAAGACAUUAAAAUGACACCAAUAAGAUGAUGAUGAUAAAAAGGACAGCUUUUUCAAUUGUUCAAGUAUGCUUUCAAAGGAGAUAAUCAUUGACUUGGUGCUAAAGCUAGGAUUAGAUGCAAGAAACCCAACACUAAACCAAAUAGCUGAAGACCACAGAAUGAUCGAACUCAAGGAAACCAUGUCAACCAAGUAGCCCACUAAUUGUCAACAUGAACUGAAUCACUCUUAUCUUCCAAGAAAAGGAAAUCUCAGCCACUACCAUUAAAAUGGAGACAAUAUAAGGAGAGAAAACAACUAAAUAGUAGCAGUUAAGCAGAUCAUUAAUUACUUUUAUCAUCAAUUAAAGGUCAAUUCCGGACAAAAAUUUCAACCAAUAACAAGGGUGAAAAUUUCCUCCUCGAUGGUCUUCUUGAAUGCUUUCAGCAUGCUGUCUCAAUAAGCCUAGUUUGAUGAUACAAAAAAAAAAAGAAAGAAAGAAAUAAAAAAUAAUAAUAAAAGGAAGGUUGAGAACAUUAUAAGAACCUAUACCAACCAAGAGGGUUAGGAUGGCCUGCAUCUAAGCUUGCUGCAGGCCGUUAUCAAUGAGAUUCGCCAUUCGAUCACGACUUGGCACGUAGCCAAAUGUUUCAGGUCUUGACUACUAUGGGAGUUCAAAACACCCAAGCAGAGAUUGUGAGACAAAUUCACAAAGUGACGAGGGAGAUGGUACCAAUUACAAGAAGUUCUCCUAGCACCACGCCAUGAACUAUUGUUGUUGUAGCAGCAGCGAAAUGGCACCAUCAUUGUUUAGCUCAGAGAAAUGAGCUUUUCUAAUUUUGUUUACAGCAAACUCUAAUUGUCCUGAAUAAAUUUCUCUAUUGUCUACUCAAAAGAGCAAUUCAAAUAUGUUAAAACAAUGUCGCCAUCAUAUUACAAUGGAAAAAUUAUUUAUCUAUAAUUAUCUUCAUAUGAAAUUCAUAAAAUGUUGAAAUACCUAGAUUCACAUAUAGCAAGAUUUGCCAAGCUGAAGAAAUACCUCUUCUUGUUGAGAAGAGAGCAAAUAAGGUAAUGACUUGACAUUAAUAGUUGGAAACUUGGACAGAAGGACAGCUUCAAUGAAGAAAAAGUUCACUCUCUUAAUCACAUAACCUGUUUAGCACAUCCCGCUGCAUUUCUUUUAGCAUAAACGAAAACAACUGAUUGAACCAUCUGAAUGCAAAGAAACAAGUGGGCAACAUAAAUACUACAGAGAAACCAAAUAACAUUUUCUUUUCAAAUUUCAUCAGACACAUACUAAGCAGGAAGUAGAAGUUAAACAGCAAAUAAAAAUAAAGCAAUUUCAUUUCUUAAUCACAUAAUCAAUGCACAUAGCUCCUAGCUCUCUUCAAUUUGACAGGUAGACCAAACAUAUAACUGCCUUCAGUAUAACAUCAAACUAAUUUAUUAUCAUCAUAGAGAGACUACCAAAACCAAAAUUCAAUAUCUACACCAUGUUUCAAAUCGCGGUUGCAUUCGCAGUCGCAGGUAAUGAAAACAGGCCUACACCGGUCAUAACGUAACAGUAACAGCUUGUGGCUACGUAAAUUUUUUUGAAAAAUUUACAAAAUUCAUGAAAUUAUCAAAUAUUUAAAGAUAUAAUUAAAAGUAAGUUAUACAACUUAAUAAUAAGUAUUAAUAAACACAAAAUCUAUAAGUUUUAAACAUCAUACACAAUAACUAAACUCAAUUACUACUAGAAUGAGCAUUUAGUAUUUACAUUAUGCAAAAUAAUUUAAAAUAUUUGAAGAAACUACGUUAUAAUUUAAAGUCAUGUGUAAAUUUUAUAUUUAUAUUUUAUACUUAAUACUUAGUUAUCAUUUAUUAUAACUUGUAAGAGCAUAAAAAUCAUUUCAUAAUCAGUAUUAAUAAUAUUAGGUUAUAAUUCUAAACUUCUAAAGUUCUACAUUUUUAAUCUAGCACUCUAACUUCUAAUUAUUUUUAAUUAUGCAUUCACUAAAAAAUGAUUCAAAAAUAUCUAAAAACUUGUGGAAAAAAUAAUUAAAACUUAUGUUCUGAAUUUCUAAUAUAAAUUAUCUAAUUUCUAAUUAUUUUUAUUUAUGCAUUCACUGAAAAAUUAUUAAAUGCAUCUAAAAAUUGUUGAGAAAUAAUAAGAACUAACUUUUUGCUCAUUAGCACUUCAAAACCACUUAGUAUCUUGGAUGAUUUGAGCUCUUCAAUAUGAGAAUUUCUAGAGAAGUUUAUAAAUAGCACUUUAAGAGCCCUAAAGUUGAUAGAAAAUUUAGAGAAACUUGAGAGAAAUAUAAAAAAAAAAGGGUAAAUUUUGGCUUGGGAGGAAAGUGGAAGGCUUCAAAUGUGAAUAAAAAAGUAUUUUCUACCUUCAAUAAUUCAUACACUAUACUGCAAGUAGUCUCUGUCAGCAAUUCUAAAGAUUUCUACCCAUCAAAUGAAGGUAACGGCCUUUAUGGCCGUUAAGUCGCAACCAAUAACAGCCAUGACCGUUAGAUAAUGGCCAUAACGGCCGUUAUCGACACAAUUUUUAAUCGCCGUGAAAUAACAGUCUUAAAGGUAACGGCUCCCUGGAAAAUCUUGAAAUAACGUAACGACCAUCAUUUAAAACCAUGAUGUAAACAAUAACUAACAAGACAAUUGCAUUAUUUCCACCAUCCACAACCAUGAUUCAUGAAUUGGGAGAAUAACACUAUCACAACUUGCCAAUAACACCCAUUAGAUCCUAUUCCUAAUUCAUAUGUUGCCUUGAGAUAUGUAUGAAGGAAUUAUUCUGACACUAAAGUAGCACAUUCUGUGUAGAAACCACCAUUGUUAGAUAAAAGUUAAUUCAACAAUAACCAAAAAGCAACCUAAGAGGUGGCAAUCCCCAAUAGCUAUUACUUGGAACAAAUUAUGGGUCUCAAGAAUAUAAAUUAUAACGAUAAAAAUGUUACAACAAUGAAUAAUGAUAUACCUAAUUGGUGACAAAUGGAGCUUCUAAGUAAAGAGUAUAUAUUAAAUUUGGGUCAGGCCUAACCCACUCUAAAAACUAAUUCAAGAAGAAGCAGAAGCAGAAGACCCUUGUAAAGGGCACAUUACCCCUAUUCCAAACUAACGCGGGAUUCAAUACACCUCUUACGCUCAGAAUUAUAUUAAAGCAUGAAAUACUUAUGGAAAGCCCAUAUUAAAUUUGAGUCAUGCCUAACUUAGCCCCUUGAACUAGCCCAAAAGCCAAAGGGGCAUGUUACACCUAUUCUAAACUAAUGUGAGAUUUAACCGAGUGAAAAAUCAAAAAUAAAAGGUGAUCCUAGUUCUUAUUCUCUAGGGCUUGAAAGAACACAUUCAAAAAGAAAUACAAGUCAUAAUGUACAGUAAAUUCUUACUGUUAUGAGCUAUCACCUCUCAAGCCCUGGCUUUCUGAAUCAAUAUUACACAAGCACAUGAAUAAUUAAAGAAUCACAAAGAACUUGAAUAUAACCACUUCAAGAAAAGAUAGAAGACACCCAAACCCAAUACAGACACUUAGUUUGGUAAGCUAUUAAUUUUAACAAGUAAUCACUCGAAGUGGUGGGCAGGCUGUGUGGUAAAUUCUUUGAUCCACAUCCUCAACAUUGCCAUUUUCUAGCAGCAUAGUUGUUUUUAUUUUUAUUAUUCAACUCUGAAAUGAAACUUUGCAAAAUCACAUGGGAAAUAUGAUAUAAUAUAAUCAUAAGCAAACUAUUAUAGUAUAAAAAUGUAUUAAAAGAUGAAAUAUAUCAGAUUCCCAGUGCAUUAAGAAUCAAAUAUUUUCCACCUUGUAUUUGAAAUUAGAAACAAAUGUAAGUAUAAAAAGGUAACAUUAAUAUCAUUCUCAUUUAAUAAAAUCAUAUUUUUACUUAAAAUAUAAUAUAAAAUUAAUUGCAACUAUUUUACACCUUGCAAUUGUGCACUCUUUUAUCUUUGGUGCUAAGCUUGUGACUCGUGAGAGGUAUUUGUGUAUUUAGCGAUAAUUAAUGCUAUAGUAAAAAAUUUUCUAAAGUUAACACAGAUCAUAAAGGAUUUUAUAUAAUGGCAAGUUAUUAAAAAAAUUGAGAGAUAUGCAAGUGACCCCUACUUGAUUUCUCUUUCCCACAACAAAUGCUCAGCAAGUUUACAUGCAACAUAUGACUGAUGUGCAAUCAUGCUAGCACUUCAUCUGCUCACAGUAUCAUAUAAUUUAUAUAAAUAAAAAUAUAAGAUGAUUAUAAGCACAAGCAUUUGCUCAAAGCUCACAACAAAACCAAAUGCUAAACCCUUUCAAUUCAAUACUGAUUCUAUAUGACAAUUAUAUAUCCAUAUACAACGCAAAAUCAUUAAAUUCAAUACCAUUGCAGGGGAAAUUGUUUAUUACUACUGACUACUUCUGCAAUACUUCUAAACUUGUCAUUUCUUUCAAUGGUUACUUGUAAGCGGUGUCAUUAUUUGCAUGUAUCGCUCAAUUCGCAGCUUAUUGCAUUGCAAACAGGUGUAAAUAUUUCAAAAUUGGUCAAUAAUCAUAAAUAUUUUCUCCCUGAGUUGUCAGAGCCAUUAAACUUCAGAUAUGUUUGUGGGAAAAUCUUCCGUAACCGUUUCCCAUCUUGGCAGCAAAUGCCAUGAAUCAACCAUAACUUCUGCAGCGCUAACCCAAAAUGUCAUUUUAUCACUUCUAUCCUCCAUAUCCCAUUGUUAAACCUGCGCUCUGACCUCUCAUACCACACAAAAACUGAAUUUUGUUCCCCUAAAAUGUCCAUGCUCUGAAGAAUCAUAAAAUAGUUCAUCGCUGAAUCAGUAUUCAUUGCCCAAAAGUCCAAAAAAUCAACAGCAAUCGAAGUGAUUAUUUUCAGAAGAAUCAUCAGACCACAAGCAAGGAAGAUCAAAAAGUAAGACCAUCCAUGUUUUUAUUUCUAUCUCUUUACAUCAUCAAACAUUUGAAUUUUUGCAGAAACAAAAUCACAUGCAUAUGGAGGUAUUAAAGGAUUAUCCUACAAAAUAUUUUUCAUAUACUUGAUACCUCCUCUUCCCUUUUGUUUUAUUUUGUUUGAGGCCAAGGGUGUCACUAAUCUGAAUGACACCUCUAAGCAGUUGUCACAUAGAAUUAACAGGCAGAAACAAUAUCCUGCUGUAGCAUCAUCACCUUAGCAAAAUUAAAUUAUUGAAAAUGUAAGGAUGUUUCUUCAUAAAUUGUUUAUUUCUUAACCGUGUAAGAUCUGUCAUAUUUCCAUCUAUUUUAUUUUCUGGCCAGGGAAAGGGGGCAUCUUUGGGGUCUGUGGUCUGUGGAUCUAAAUAAACCUUAAGCAAAGCACUUAGAUUAGACCACCAAACAAGCUGCCGAUAUGAGCAGAUUUAACUUAUUAAUGGCAGUGUUGUUUGUCUGUCCUAUAGGAUGAGGUUCAAUAAUCAUUUGGCAUGUUGUAGGACAGAAACUCAAUAAGAUUAUCGAAAUUAGCCUUGCAACACAUUUUAGCGUAUGCAUGCCUUCAUAUAUUGUUCAGCAUCAUCACCACACAUAUGGUCCAAUGUUAAACACUUCUUGAGAAUAAUGUCUUAAAAAUUAAUCAUCAAGCAAACAUGAUAAAAAGAUUUUACUUUAGGAUAGUAAUAAUUUCAAAUACUUGCCAAAGCACGACAAGGAAGAUGUACUACAUGCCAAUUUUCCAAAUAUUAAGUUAGUCCUAGGCAGGGCAUCAACCUAUGGGUUGGUUAGGAGCAAGCAUGAACAAAAUCAUGUUGGAAGAUACCACAACUUUCGAAAGGAAUUUUUAGCUUGUAAGUGUAUCGAGUAGAUUUAUAUCCUGCCCUUGACAGAUAUUACAUCUAGUUCACAGAGGUUUAAAAAAAAUUUUAUUGGACAGUGUUAGUAUUAGUUAAUGAUUCUCCAGCUGUGAAUUCAAAGAACUCCCUCAAAUGUUGCUUUCUUUGUGCUAUACACAUACUAGAUAUAUAGCCUUCACUUAGUUGCUUGAUAAGUACAUCAUGCCAAAUCAUAUGUUCUAUUCGCCUGCACGCAAAUAAAGAUGGACUGAUCAGUCAUACUUUUUCACAUGUGAAACUCAAUUGUCCUACUCCUCCUCUCCCUCCCUUCUCCUUCUUUUAUCUAUCAUUUCCUUUUAUAUUUCUUUAAUGCUUAAUGGGCAGUUUCUUCAUACCUGUUCUCAGAAGUGAUUUUCCAACAUGGCUGAGGCUGACAGUGACACAGCACAUUUAUGUGAUGCUAUCAGUAGACUACCAGAUGAACUACUUCAUACCAUACUGGAGAAAAUACCACUACUUGAUGCAGUGACUACUGGAUUCUUGUCGCGUAGAUGGAGGGAUGUAUGGAAGUACAUUUCCAUAGUAGAAUUUGGUCCAUUAUGGGUUCAGUUGACAGGAAAAGAUGUCUUUUCAUCUCUUAAUCAGUUCAUCCGCCUCCACAAAGGUCAGAAAAUUCAAAAUUUCUCUGUAAGUUUCAAAUAUCAGCCAGAAAUGUCGACACAUGUUGAUUCAUGGAUCCACUUUGCAAUUAGUAAGCAUGUUAAAGACUUACAUCUUGACUUUGAUGCAAUUGAUUUUCGCUUCAAUGAGACUCGUACUGAUAUGAUAAGGUAUAUUGAAUAUGAUCCUUGCUAUGAGAUACCUCCUUGUGUUUUCAACUGCAAAUCACUGGUCAGAUUGAUACUGUGUUGCUGUGUUCUGGAGCUGCCAAUGUCUAUUCAGCUUCCUUCCCUUAAGGUAUUGCGUUUGCAAGGGAUUGAAUUACCUCAAGAUGCAAUCCAAAUACUCACUUCAAAUGCUCCAGUACUCCAGUACUUGUUAUUGAUUGAUUGCAACAGCACCAGUGAUCUGCACAUUAACAUUGCACCAAAUCAACAUUUUCAUAAUCUGGAGAUAAUUGAACACUUUUUUGCUGUCAACCAUAGAACUAGAAUGUUUAUCAAGGCUCCUACUGCCUUCCAAGUGGCAUUCCUGGGCUCGAUGCCACGAUCAAAGUACAUUAUAGAGGAAGUAUCAGAAUAUGCUCAGUUUCAUUUCAGUUUUCCAGAGAUGUUUAAUCUUUCUGGAAAGCAUAGACUAAAUAUCCUGGGUAACGACUCACGCAUUCAAAAAUAUGAAAAUAGAUUCCAGGAGAUACUUGCAAGUUGCCAUAAGUCCAAUGACAUUCGCAUGUGCAAUUGGUGUAUCCAGGUAUUUUGAUCACAAUGAUAUAGUUUCCUUCCAAAUUUUUGCAAUUCAUAAAUGCAAGCUUUAACUUCUAAUGGAUUAACUUUGGGUGACUCAAGUAUGGGCAAAACUACAAUGAAUACUCAAAUGGUUAGAAAAGUAUAAUUGACCAAGAAAAGUAAAGAUCAUUGACAUACAGUUAGAUGAGCUUGUCACCAAAUAUAGUUCCAACUUUUGAACAAAGGUUAACAACAAUUAAGCAGUUCUACUUCCAACAUCUUAUAACAUGCAAGUAUUUUUUUUGUGCAGCUUCUUUCUUUGCGAGAGUUAAGAAAUUUAGAGAGAUUGAAAUUCGACUGCACCAUUUUGGCAAUAUCUUGUACUUUCUGGAAAUGGGAGCUACCGGGAAUUAUUUACAUGCUGAAAGCCUGUCCUAAAGUCGAGGAGUUGACAUUAUCAAUGGCUCCCGGAGAAGAAAAGAUAAAGGUAUGAAAUGUAUUCUAUGUGAUAUUCACCAUGUUCUUUGCUUAUCUCCUCUGUCAUUUUACCAGUCACUAUAGUGCAUUAUCAUGCCUCACAUUUUUUUAAUAAUAAAUUUCCAGAUUGCCCAAGAUUAUUUGUUGCAACAUGACUUCCAGGAAAGCAGAUUCCUGGAUAACCAAAAUUUAGGACUUGAAUUGGAAAAUCUAAGAACAGUACGGUUUGUACAUGGUGGAGAUCACAAGACAUGGGAUCAUGAAUAUUUUGAUCUGAAAAGAUUCUUCAAUGGGGCCAUGUUGGGAGCACAAUUCAUAGGACUACUAAAGAAUCAUGCAGUGAAUCUACAAAGCCUUAUAUUUAAGUCAAGCGAGCAAGAGUUGAAAUGUUUUUUGAAGAAAAGGAAAAAGAAAAAAGAUGAAGAAAAAGAAACAACAACCAGGAGGAGCCCACCAAUUAGAAUUUACUGGGACUAGCAACUACUGAGAAGAAGAAGAAGAGUGAGAGAACCAGCAGUGAUGGUCAUAGUUGUUCUAGUUGCAGUUGUUUCUAUUUGAGGACAAGGCUUGCAGUUAGUUUGUUCUAGUUGUUCUAGUCUUUGUUGCUCUUUCUGUUGCUGUUGUUCUUUAAAUAUCAUGACCUCGGACAAGGUCACUUGAUGUUUAGUCUUUCUAUUUAGAGAACCAGCAGUAGUGGUCAUAGUUGUUCUAGUUGCGGUUGUUUCUAUUCGAGGACAAGGUUUGCAGUUACUUAGUUUGUUCUAGUUGUUCUAGUCUUUGUUGCUCUUUCUGUUGCUGUUGUUCUUUAAUCCUCAUGACCUCAGAAAAGGUCACCUGAUGUUUAGUCUUUCUAUUUAGGCUUGUAUGCGCUCUUAUGGACAUGGGUUUGUUGCAUCUAUGCAUAAAAUAAUUUGGAGCUUCUUAAUUAUGUUAUCUUUUUGUGUAUCCCACUGCUUCAAGAAAUCCAAAAUGUCUCAGGUUUUCUAUCCUCGCAUCGCUUGAUCACAAACACAAGUAGAGAAAGCCCCCACCACACCAAUCUUACCCUUUUCUCAGUUCUGCUGUUUCCUACCUUCAAUUCCCAGAAUUUAACAAUGGCAUUUGCAGAGUGAUAAAAGUCUCAAACUUUCAACACAACAAAAAACCAGAAAUACAGGAAUUUAACUACUGAUCCAUUGAACAACCAAAUCCAAAUGAAGCACAAGAUAAUAGAAACAAAAAUUUCAGCGAUAAAAAACCAUAAACCGUAAAAGUAAAAGAGUCACCCGGAGCGAAAAUGAUCUCGCGAAACCGUUGGACGGUACAAUAUUUGCCCGGUUGCCUUGGUAAAACAGAGGCGGAGGUAACUUAUCGCUUGCUUUUGGGAAAAAUAGAAACUGGGAGAUAACGGCG